CCCUUAGAUGUUCUGGGCCGCACGCGUGCUACACUGAGUGGAUCAGCGGGUCAGGUUGCGCGAAAGUGUUCCUAAUCUUGAAAUCCGCUCGUGAUGGGGAUUGACGGUUGCAAUUUUCCGUCAUGAACGAGGAAUACCUUGUAAGCGCGGGUCAUCAUCCCGCGCUGAAUACGUCCCUGCCCUUUGUACACACCGCCCGUCGCUCCUACCGAUUGAGUGGUCCGGUGAGGCUUUGGGAUCUGAGCGGAAAGAGCGUUUCGCUGUUUCUGCUCGGAAAACUCAGUCGAACCUUAUCAUUUAGAGGAAGGAGAAGUCGUAACA
Molecule: ribosomal RNA, 321 nt
Filed under: uncultured eukaryote
Lineage: Eukaryota
Description: partial 18S ribosomal RNA
Rfam family: Eukaryotic small subunit ribosomal RNA
Source: RNAcentral